ACUAAUAUGAAUCUUGGCCUUGGCUUUCUGUAAUUGACCUUACCAGAUGCUCAAAACAUCCUUCACUUUUCCUAUAUUUUCAUUGCCUUUUGGGACUUUAGCCUAGGUAGAUUUUAUCCUACCACUGGGCCAUUUAGGUCUCCUGCAUUGCUACUAUGGCUGAAAUUUUUUUUUUAUAGCAAGACUAGGGACAUUUGGAUAUCUUUACUGAAAAGUUUUGCAUAUGCUGUAGUGGUAUUCAUCUGUAGGUAUCUGAUAUAUAAUUUAUGUAUAUUUUAGUUGAUCAUGAUGAUCACUGGAAGAGUCUAACGAUACAUGUUGAUUAUUAGCCAACUCUGAAGAUAAUGUUCAAUAUACUAUUUUUGUAAAUACCAUCUCAGAUUAAUGUUAGUUUUAUUCCUCAGAUUGAUGAUGAUCUUCAAAUUUAUUAGGAGGGUGAAGUUGGAGCAUGGAAUCUGGUCAUUCAACCCUGAUUGCCUCUUACACCAAAGUGUGAUGUGAGGGUUUAGUGCCCUGAGCAACAUCUUUUAGGGUUGCUGAAGCUUCAAAUCCACACUUCUAAUUUGGUAAGAACCUUUUUCUGAAAGUGGUUAGAAAGUAAGUGCACUUAAAAAUGAUUGACGAGUCCUAAGGUACAACAGCUACCUGUGCCAAUUGGUGUGGACAUGAACGAGGCAUUCAUUGGAUUGAUAUACUGUAAUGCAAGCUAUUAUAGAAAAUGAGGUGGCCCUAAAUUUU
Non-coding RNA from Cherax quadricarinatus, 738 nucleotides. The record is from RefSeq and is a predicted model, not a curated record. Lineage: Eukaryota; Metazoa; Arthropoda; Malacostraca; Decapoda; Parastacidae.